ACGAUUAAACUUCCCUUCGGGGAAGAAUAAAGUGGCGCACGGGUGAGUAACACGUAAGUAAUCUGCCUUCGAGUGGGGAAUAACCCGGGGAAACCCGAGCUAAUACCGCAUAAUGCAGCGGCACCGCAAGGUGACAGUUGUUAAAGGAGCAAUCCGCUUGAAGAGGAGCUUGCGGCAGAUUAGCUAGUUGGUAAGGUAAUGGCUUACCAAGGCUACGAUCUGUAUCCGGUCUAAGAGGACGGUCGGACACACUGACACUGAACAACGGGUCAGACUCCUACGGGAGGCAGCAGUCGGGAAUUUUGGGCAAUGGGCGAAAGCCUGACCCAGCAACGCCGCGUGAAGGAUGAAGUAUUUCGGUAUGUAAACUUCGAAAGAAUAGGAAGAAUAAAUGACGGUACUAUUUAUAAGCUCCGGCUAACUACGUGCCAGCAGCCGCGGUAAUACGUAGGGAGCAAGCGUUGUUCGGAUUUACUGGGCGUAAAGGGCGCGUAGGCGGCGCAGUAAGUUACUUGUGAAAUCUCUGAGCUUAACUCAGAACGGCCAAGUAAUACUGCAGUGCUAGAGUGCAGAAAGGGCAAUCGGAAUUCUUGGUGUAGCGGUGAAAUGCGUAGAUAUCAAGAGGAACACCUGAGGCGAAGGCGGGUUGCUUGUCUGACACUGACGCUGAGGCGCGAAAGCCAGGGGAGCAAACGGGAUUAGAUACCCCGGUAGUCCUGGCCCUAAACGAUGAAUACUUGGUGUCUGGAGUU
RNAcentral lists this ribosomal RNA (752 nucleotides) under uncultured bacterium. RNAcentral's name for it is "bacterial SSU rRNA". It matches the Rfam family "Bacterial small subunit ribosomal RNA", at positions 66 to 831 of the family's 1533-position model. The record is from RNAcentral.